AAAUAACAAACUUUCAAUUAUUUUUUUUAAAUUAAGAAAAAGACAUUAUGAAUAAUAAUAUAUUUAUUUAAAAUCGACAUAAUGUCAACUAGAUAGGAUCUCUUAAAGCAUACGAAAUAUUUAUUUAUUAUUCUUGCAACUUUUCAAGAUUGAAGCAAUGCAUGGCAUGCACGAGCACCUACAAAAUAAAAACAAUUAUAUAUAUAUUAUGUUUUAUUUAAAAAAAUUAAAUAAAAUAUAUUAGAGACAUAAAAUAAAUAAAUAGCUUUACUUACACAAAGAUUAUUGUUGUAGGUGGCAUGUAUCUUCUUUACAUGAACUCUUACACGCUUUAUAAUCGGUUUUAUAAAGGUUUCCAUAACAUAAAAUGGUACAUAUUAUUUCGCAAAAAGGCUGGUGAAUCUUGUUUAACUUAAAAUCUUGAGAUGGAGUAAUGCAUUCAGCAUGUCUUACAACAAACAUUACCAUUAACAUCAUCACAACAAAACAUUUAAUUCCACUAACAGCCAUUACUCUUAUCAAAUUCAAUUCAAACUCACAAUUUUUUUUAAUGUUUGAACUCUACAUAACACUCAUUUAACAAAAUGUUUCAUUAGAC
RNAcentral lists this long non-coding RNA (598 nucleotides) under Lathyrus oleraceus (garden pea). RNAcentral describes it as "Pisum sativum (pea) long non-coding RNA (PSAT_LNC010011)". Lineage: Eukaryota; Viridiplantae; Streptophyta; Magnoliopsida; Fabales; Fabaceae. The record is from RNAcentral.